This 867-nucleotide ribosomal RNA is filed under the name uncultured organism. RNAcentral's name for it is "bacterial SSU rRNA". It matches the Rfam family "Bacterial small subunit ribosomal RNA", at positions 21 to 866 of the family's 1533-position model. The record is from RNAcentral.
GGCUCAGAACGAACGCUGGCGGCAUGGCUAAGACAUGCAAGUCGUACGGACCACCUUUUGCUUGCAUUGGGUGGUUAGUGGCGAAAGGGUGAGUAAUGCAUGGGAACGUACCCCGGACACCGGGAUAACCACGGGCUUCGGCUCUUUAGCGAAAGUGUGGCUAAUACCGGAUGAUGUCUACGGAUCAAAGGUGGGGAUCUUCGGACCUGCCGGUCUGGGAGCGGCCCAUGUCCUAUCAGCUUGUUGGUGGGGUAAAGGCCUACCAAGGCGCCGACGGGUAGCGGGACUGAGAGGUUGGCCCGCCACAUCGGGACUGAGACACUGCCCGGACACCUACGGGUGGCUGCAGUAACGAAUAUUGGGCAAUGGGCGCAAGCCUGACCCAGCAAUGCCGCGUGCAGGAGGAAGCCCUUCGGGGUGUGAACUGCUGUCAGGGGUUAGCAAACAAAGGGCGUUAACAGCGUCCGGCGUUGAGCCGCCCCAAAGGAAGCCUCGACUAACUCUGUGCCAGCAGUCGCGGUAAGACAGAGGAGGCAAGCGUUGUUCGGAAUCAUUGGGCUUAAAGCGGGUGUAGGCGGCUCGGCAAGUGUCGUGUGAAAUCCAACGGCUCAACCGUUGAACUGCACGGCAAACUGCCUGGCUUGAGGUCGGUAGAGGUGCCUGGAACUCUUGGUGGAGCGGUGAAAUGCGUAGAUAUCAAGAGGAACGCCAGAGGCGAAAGCGGGGCACUGGGCCGAUUCUGACGCUGAGAUCCGAAAGCGUGGGGAGCAAACAGGAUUAGAUACCCUGGUAGUCCACGCCGUAAACGAUGCACACUAGACGUCGGAGGUUCUGACACCGUCGGCGUCGCAGCAAAAGUACUAAGUG